RNAcentral lists this ribosomal RNA (376 nucleotides) under uncultured Hymenagaricus. RNAcentral describes it as "eukaryotic LSU rRNA". The stretch from base 16 to 169 matches the Rfam family "5.8S ribosomal RNA". The record is from RNAcentral. Lineage: Eukaryota; Fungi; Basidiomycota; Agaricomycetes; Agaricales; Agaricaceae.
UGAUAAAAUCUAUACAACUUUCAGCAACGGAUCUCUUGGCUCUCGCAUCGAUGAAGAACGCAGCGAAAUGCGAUAAGUAAUGUGAAUUGCAGAAUUCAGUGAAUCAUCGAAUCUUUGAACGCACCUUGCGCUCCUUGGUAUUCCGAGGAGCAUGCCUGUUUGAGUGUCAUUAAAUUCUCAACCCAUAACUUCUUUUUUGAAGCUCUGGGCUUGGACUGUGGAGGUUUUGCUGGUGAGAAUCAGCUCCUCUGAAAUGCAUUAGCGGAACCGUUUGCGAUCUGCCACAAGUGUGAUAAUUAUCUACACUGAAGGGGAGAUUGCUCUCAGGUGUUCGGCUCCUAAUCGUCUUCGGACAAAACUAAUGAAUACUUGACCU